This 576-nucleotide ribosomal RNA is filed under the name uncultured bacterium. RNAcentral's name for it is "bacterial SSU rRNA". It matches the Rfam family "Bacterial small subunit ribosomal RNA", at positions 338 to 916 of the family's 1533-position model. The record is from RNAcentral.
CCUACGGGAGGCAGCAGUAAGGAAUAUUGGUCAAUGGACGAAAGUCUGAACCAGCCAUGCCGCGUGAAGGAUGAAGGCCCUCUGGGUUGUAAACUUCUUUUAUCUGGGACGAAAAAAGGGAAUUCUUUCCCACUUGACGGUACCAGAGGAAUAAGCACCGGCUAACUCCGUGCCAGCAGCCGCGGUAAUACGGAGGGUGCAAGCGUUAUCCGGAUUUACUGGGUUUAAAGGGUGCGUAGGUGGGUAGGUAAGUCAGUGGUGAAAUCUCCGAGCUUAACUCGGAAACUGCCAUUGAUACUAUCUAUCUUGAAUAUCCUGGAGGUGAGCGGAAUAUGUCAUGUAGCGGUGAAAUGCUUAGAUAUGACAUAGAACACCAAUUGCGAAGGCAGCUCACUACGGGAUUAUUGACACUGAGGCACGAAAGCGUGGGGAUCAAACAGGAUUAGAUACCCUGGUAGUCCACGCCCUAAACGAUGGAUACUCGACAUACGCGAUACACUGUGUGUGUCUGAGCGAAAGCAUUAAGUAUCCACCUGGGAAGUACGAUCGCAAGAUUGAACUCAAAGGAAUUGACGG